Small nucleolar RNA from Tachyglossus aculeatus (Australian echidna), 138 nucleotides. The record is from RefSeq and is a predicted model, not a curated record. Lineage: Eukaryota; Metazoa; Chordata; Mammalia; Monotremata; Tachyglossidae.
CCCAUCUCAGGGUCACGCCUGGAGAGUUCCCAGUACUCUACCAGUCUCAAAUGCAGGAGGGAGAGUCAAGCAGAGGCAUAUUCAUUCCAUUCCUAGCUUGGCCAGUGGCUAGUGUGUGGAAGGCACUCUGCUACAAGU